CCCGCCGCCGCUGCGGCAGCCGCCAGGACUGACCAAGACAUGCCGCUGAACCUGUCGCGCCGGUAGCGUCGCCCCGCCGGUCGCUCGCCGUCCACCCGGCUGGUGGUCGCCUCCUCCACGGCGCCCCGCUUGCCACCGAGCGUGCUAUCUGACGGCGCGCCAUCGGGCUGCGGGCCUGGUCGGAGCCGGCGCCACUGCAGAUGUCGCCCCUGGACGUGGCUGGGGCCUCGCGGGGCCUCCCGGUCGUGCCGAGCGGAGCGGAGGCCGGCCUCGGGAGCGGCCGGAAGCAAUACGGUCUUGGCUUUUGAUUGGUUGGUUGUUCUCUGUUCUUCCUCGCGCGGCCUGUCGGUCCAGCCGGCGCCGGCUAAGCUGCGCGGUCCGUAUCGGCGGGCCGAUGGAGGCUCGCCCGGCCCCGGAGCUGCCACCUGAACGCGGGACGCCGGGUGCCGGGCCCGCGCCCGGCCCCCGCGCGGGCCGCCGGCGGUCACGGGCGCCAUCCGUGACACGGGCCGGGCGAACGACGCCUCGCGCCGGGCAAGCCGGCAGCUCCGCUGGCGACCCCUCCGACUGGCUCGGCAAGAUCUCAGCUACUGUCUCUGUAUGUGAUAUGUUUGGACAAUCAAGGCCUCCGACCAGUACGCCCGCGGACAAGGCGAACCAGGGCCCGGCGGGCUCGACGCGGCCGUGGCCGGCAAACGGCCGCCCGGUUUUGAUAGAUGUAAUUUUAUGCUUUGUUGCUCAUGAAGUUGCGACGCUCUCGCUGUGUUGUUUAGUGUUCUGUUUUGUUGCGGUUGAGCGCCGGUUGUCUGUCGUGUUGCAAUUAUCCAUGUGACACAUUCGGUAAAUAUGUAUUGUUUUAUCAUCGCAGCAAUCGAGCUUGCUGUCAUUGUGUUCGACAAGUUCGUUGCGCACUGGAACACCUCGGACCAACAGAUGCCGCCCCAGUGCCGGUGCUCCUCGCACCCGCCGUCGCCAGUGCCUUCAACGGAUUCGUUGUCGCUCGACGUACUUCCGCACAGUACAGCUCGACGUUAUCAUAAGCACCCGUGCCAACGAAACAUUGUAACUAGAUGCAUCAAACAAAUAGACAAAUGACAUUUCGUAUUUAUUUUGCUACCAGAUAUUCACAGUGCAAAUCUCCACGGUCGUGUUUUGUACUUGGAUACAUGUAAAUAUUCACCUGAUCGCAAAUACAUCAGUACAACAUUC
Pollicipes pollicipes is the source of this 1209-nucleotide long non-coding RNA. RefSeq lists it as uncharacterized. The record is from RefSeq and is a predicted model, not a curated record. NCBI's taxonomy places the organism in Eukaryota, Metazoa, Arthropoda, Thecostraca, Pollicipedomorpha, Pollicipedidae. The transcript has 2 exons.